This is a long non-coding RNA of Ostrinia nubilalis (European corn borer), 507 nucleotides long. RefSeq lists it as uncharacterized. NCBI's taxonomy places the organism in Eukaryota, Metazoa, Arthropoda, Insecta, Lepidoptera, Crambidae. The record is from RefSeq and is a predicted model, not a curated record. The transcript is spliced from 2 exons.
ACUGUGAUUUCCAGUUUAGUAACUAAUAAAAUUAAUUCCUUUCCAGGCGUUGCUGACCACAGCAUUCAUCGUAGUCGGCAACAUCAAAACCCUCAUAGAAUUCGCGAGCUGGUUUCUCUGGUUCUUCUACGGGUUGGCCAUGGUCGCUCUACUAGUGCUGCGAAAGACGCAAGCUAAAAAACCUCGACCGUACCGAGUCCCGACGCUAGUGCCGUGCUUCGUGCUACUCGUAGCGAUAUUCUUAUCGAUACUGCCGAUUGUCCACGACCCGUCGGUGAAAUAUCUCAUGGCAGUCGGGUUCAUAGUCCUGGGGGUGCUGGUAUACACCGUGUUUGUGUAUCACAAAAAGACGCCGACUGCUUUACUCGAAAAAUUCACAUUCCUAACGCAAGUUCUGUUCGAGAGCGUCCCGCCGAGCAAUCGUCAAGACUGAUCACUGUUGUUUUAAGUGCAUGUUUGUAAAUAUUAGUAUUAGAAUAUUAAAUAAAGGACAUAUUUUAGUAAAUA